AUUGAACGCUGGCGGCAUGCUUUACACAUGCAAGUCGAACGGCAGCGCGGGGCAACCUGGCGGCGAGUGGCGAACGGGUGAGUAAUAUAUCGGAACGUACCCAGAAGUGGGGGAUAACGUAGCGAAAGUUACGCUAAUACCGCAUACGAUCUACGGAUGAAAGUAGGGGACCGCAAGGCCUUAUGCUUUUGGAGCGGCCGAUAUCUGAUUAGCUAGUUGGUGAGGUAAAGGCUCACCAAGGCGACGAUCAGUAGCUGGUCUGAGAGGACGACCAGCCACACUGGAACUGAGACACGGUCCAGACUCCUACGGGAGGCAGCAGUGGGGAAUUUUGGACAAUGGGCGCAAGCCUGAUCCAGCAAUGUCGCGUGAGUGAAGAAGGCCUUCGGGUUGUAAAGCUCUUUUGUCAGGGAAGAAACGGUAGAGGCUAAUAUCCUUUGCUAAUGACGGUACCUGAAGAAUAAGCACCGGCUAACUACGUG
Molecule: ribosomal RNA, 482 nt
Filed under: uncultured bacterium
Lineage: Bacteria
Description: partial 16S ribosomal RNA
Rfam family: Bacterial small subunit ribosomal RNA
Source: RNAcentral